This 459-nucleotide long non-coding RNA is filed under the name Cyanistes caeruleus (blue tit). RNAcentral's name for it is "lncRNA (ENSCCEG00000013650.1)". The record is from RNAcentral. Lineage: Eukaryota; Metazoa; Chordata; Aves; Passeriformes; Paridae.
CUCACAUCCCUCCUCUACCUACCCCUGACACAUCAAAAUUACCCCUGGUCCUUCACCUGGUGGGACAGGUGUGCCCAUCCUGACAGCUAUUUAAACCCUCCCAUGCCAGGAAAUGGGAACCCAGCUUUUAAAGCUCGUUUUCACCCAGAGGAUGUCAAAGAAUAAAGGAGUGCUUGCUCACAGGCUGUCCCCAAAGCACCAGGAAAUAUAAAUAAAAUUCAAAACCAUACUGAAAUGGAAACAGUUUCAGGAAGAAGUGCAGAGAGAUGCUGCAGUGCCAUUAAGAAGGAUCCCAAUGGUGUUUCCAAGGAGGACUUGCUGCACUAAGGACAGCUGGUUCUGGUGGUCAGAUCCUGGAGGAAAAUGGGGAAUAUCAGUUCCCAAAUCCCAAGGCUGGCACAGACUCCAUGUGUCACCUCAGGGUGGUGAAUGGAAGCAGGAUAACAAUGGUGCUGCCCA